CCUACGGGUGGCAGCAGUGAGGAAUAUUGGUCAAUGGGCGUAAGCCUGAACCAGCCAAGUCGCGUGCGGGAUGAAGGUUCUAUGGAUCGUAAACCUCUUUUAUAAGGGAAUAAAGUGUGGGACGUGUCCUGUUUUGUAUGUACCUUAUGAAUAAGGAUCGGCUAACUCCGUGCCAGCAGCCGCGGUAAUACGGAGGAUCCGAGCGUUAUCCGGAUUUAUUGGGUUUAAAGGGUGCGUAGGCGGCCUUUUAAGUCAGCGGGGAAAGUCUGUGGCUCAACCAUAGAAUUGCCGUUGAAACUGGGAGACUUGAGUAAGUUUGAGGCAAGCGGAAUGCGGGGUGUAGCGGUGAAAUGCGUAGAUAGAACGCAGAACCCCGAUGGCGAAGGCAGCCUGCCAAGCCAUGACUGACGCUGAUGCACGAAAGCGUGGGGAUCAAACAGGAUUAGAUACCCGGGUAGUC
RNAcentral lists this ribosomal RNA (460 nucleotides) under uncultured bacterium. RNAcentral describes it as "partial 16S ribosomal RNA". It matches the Rfam family "Bacterial small subunit ribosomal RNA", at positions 338 to 795 of the family's 1533-position model. The record is from RNAcentral.